AUAUCAAGGGAUUAGCCACUAAUUUCUUCCCUGAACCCUGUCUCUGAUGUUAGCUGUGAGCCUCUAUUCACCCCGUGUGCAGGGGAAAGGAGGACAGUUAGCCUAGAGGCAAAAAUCUGGGGAGGACGUCUGAGUGUGUGGCUUCCCGCUCACCCCCCAGUCGGCCCCCUGGAGGGCCUCCCGCCCUGGGCUCGGAGAGGGGAGCCAGAGAGGAGAGCUGGCGGACUCUCCCCCUGCCCCCUGCCUUGCUCUUUGUCUCCACAAGUCCUGUGAGAGUGUAGGCUAGGAGCUACUCUCCCCGUUGGACAGAUGCUCUUCUGAGGGCCACCCAGGGCCAUGCCGGCAGAAGCAGCGUGAAGAGCCACAGCAAGUGCCUAGGCCAGUGUUCUUUCCACCGCUCUGAGGUUCCGUGACCUCUUCUGAGAUCCCCAGCUGAAGGCAGACCCUGGUGACAAGAGGGAACAUGGGCACAGACAGCCCCAGAAGGUCGCAGUGCCUGUUGGGGCAGCCCUUCAGGGACUGGUGUUGGCGAUCUCCAUGCCAUCCUGGCCAGGUGGCUCGGCACGUGGCCAGGAUCCCUGGCGCAGCUCGAGGGAGCAUCUUCCUGCCGAACAUAGCGCAGGCCAAGCUCUGCACCAGCUGCUUGGGGGACUUAGCUGGACAGCUUCAGGCAAGACUGGUCAGGCCCCCUUUACUGUCACAGUGCUGCCUGCAAGGGUGGACUUAGGAAAGAGCUUUGACACACCCGCUCUGUCCCAGGCUCCACAUCUGGCAGACUUACUGCAGAGCCCCCGUGGGUCUAGCCUCAACCUGAGCCAGGCUGACCUGGCCUUGAGUCCCGCUCUGUCCUUCCUAGCCGAGUCACCUUGGACCCGUCUGUCAGCCCCCAAGCCUCAGUCUCCUCAGCUGUGAAGUGGACACAGAGGCAGCCGCCCCCCUGAGGUCUUGUGAGGGUCGAGCUCAUGAAUGUGACGUGCCUGGCGCUAAUGUUCCUAGCAAUGUAAUCGUGUUGUGUUUUUUUUUUUUUUUUUUUUGCAGUACGUGGGCCUCUCCCUGUUGUGGCCUCUCCCGUUGCGGAGCACAGGCUCCGGACGCGCAGGCUCAGCGGCCAUGGCUCACGGGCCCAGCCGCUCCGCGGCAUGUGGGAUCUUCCCGGACCGGGGCAUGAACCCACGUCCCCUGCAUCGGCAGGCGGACUCUCAACCGCUGCGCCACCAGGGAAGCCCUGUAAUGGUUUUAAGUAGAACAUUCCACCUGCCCUGCUAGCCCCAACCCUAACCCCUCUGCUGAGUGGGCAGUGCCGCUGUGACUGACAGAUGGCCCUGUGACCCUACCCUUCCCCUUGCCCGGCUCCCUGGGUGCCUGCACCUCUGCUGUGGGCAGCGAGGGGAGGCCCAGUGGCUGUGGGAGGAAGAGCAAUAUGGAAAUUGUGCACAAGGAGGCUGAUCAUAUUAAGAUCCAGCUGCACUUAAGCGUCUCCUGGGAAGCUCUUUACAGCGCACUGAAGAGAGCUCCCAGAUGUCAAAGCGGCCUUGCAUCGAGGCCCGGUAGCUCUUAGCGGCCUCGCCACAUGCUCCCCAGGUAAUUGGUCUCCUAAUGCACCAGCCCUGGCCGGGUUCCACCGCCUCUUCCCCCUCGGGUCAGUUCAUGCUGCUCCCCGGCCUGGCAAGCGGGUCACAGACAGCGUGACACACCCCCGCCAUUGUUUUCUUGUCCUUGCAGGCCAUUUCUAGAUGCUGUACAGGAUGCCUUGGCCUGGAAGAGUAAACAGGAUUGCCAGGCAGUGUGGAAUCAGGAAUUCUGUUCAAGACCAGGGCUUUUAUGUCCAGAAAUUGUGUGUUAGAUGCAGUGGGGAACAUAUAAAAGGGAGACACAAUCCCUCCUAUUACAGGUAGAAGUAAACCAGCAUGGUUUUCAUUUUCUUCUUCAACAUUAGUUUUUAUUCCUGACUACAAAAGGGAUACGUGUUCUUGGUAAGAAAUUUAAAAGAAAGAUAAAAGGAAAAUCAUUUAUAGCUUCACACCGGAGAUGACAGCUCUUCACAUUUUGCAGUGGAUUUCUUCUCUACACGUUUGUAUACUUC
Long non-coding RNA from Phocoena sinus (vaquita), 2083 nucleotides. The record is from Ensembl. Lineage: Eukaryota; Metazoa; Chordata; Mammalia; Artiodactyla; Phocoenidae.